CCUACGGGAGGCAGCAGUGGGGAAUAUUGGGCAAUGGAGGAAACUCUGACCCAGCAACGCCGCGUGAAUGAUGAAGGUCUUCGGAUUGUAAAGUUCUUUUAGAAGGGAAGAAGAAAGUGACGGUACCGUAGGAAUAAGCGUGGGCUAACUACGUGCCAGCAGCCGCGGUAAUACGUAGGAGGCGAGCGUUAUACGGAAUGACUGGGCGUAAAGGGUGCGUAGGUGGUUUGGGAAGUUAGUAGCGUAACUCCAUGGCUCAACCUUGGAACUCCUACGAAAACUGUUGGCCUUGCGUGCAGGAGGGGCAACCGGACUUCCUAGUGUCGCGGUGGAAUGCGUAUCUAUUAG
Molecule: ribosomal RNA, 348 nt
Filed under: uncultured bacterium
Lineage: Bacteria
Description: partial 16S ribosomal RNA
Rfam family: Bacterial small subunit ribosomal RNA
Source: RNAcentral